GACGAACGCUGGCGGCGUGCUUAACACAUGCAAGUCGAACGGUAAGGCCCUUCGGGGUACACGAGUGGCGAACGGGUGAGUAACACGUGGGUGAUCUGCCCUGCACUUCGGGAUAAGCCUGGGAAACUGGGUCUAAUACCGGAUAGGACCACUGCCUGCAUGGGUGGUGGUGGAAAGCUUUUGCGGUGUGGGAUGGGCCCGCGGCCUAUCAGCUUGUUGGUGGGGUGAUGGCCUACCAAGGCGACGACGGGUAGCCGGCCUGAGAGGGUGACCGGCCACACUCGGACUGAGAUACGGCCCAGACUCCUACGGGAGGCAGCAGUGGGGAAUAUUGCACAAUGGGCGCAAGCCUGAUGCAGCGACGUCGCGUGAGGGAUGACGGCCUUCGGGUUGUAAACCUCUUUCAGCACCGACGAAGCGCAAGUGACGGUAGGUGCAGAAGAAGGACCGGCCAACUACGUGCCAGCAGCCGCGGUAA
This 478-nucleotide ribosomal RNA is filed under the name uncultured bacterium. Its description in RNAcentral is "partial 16S ribosomal RNA". It matches the Rfam family "Bacterial small subunit ribosomal RNA", at positions 28 to 523 of the family's 1533-position model. The record is from RNAcentral.